Long non-coding RNA from Asparagus officinalis (garden asparagus), 447 nucleotides. RefSeq lists it as uncharacterized. Lineage: Eukaryota; Viridiplantae; Streptophyta; Magnoliopsida; Asparagales; Asparagaceae. The record is from RefSeq and is a predicted model, not a curated record. The transcript has 4 exons.
GCGACCACGACGGCGACUCCUGCAUCGCCCGCGCCAUUGGAAACCUAUGCCAGAACUUCCUCCUCUCCUAUGGGGUUAGGGUAGGGACCGGGAUCCUACUAGUUUGAGCUUUCAAGCUCGCCAAGCGUGGGUCUUACUCGUCCAUCCUCGAUCUCAAGCAUUUUAGCAGGUUCAGUUGCAGGCUUGUCUAUAUUGUCCUUAGAUGAUUCAAGUCAAAGACGCACUCUUGCUUUACAUGUGUUAACUAGGCUUGGUCAGUGUGCAUAUAAUUCUGCAAAGGCAAAGAAUAAGUUUCAUCUUCGGGAAGCCAUUGGAGGCAUGGAGAUUCUUUACUCUUUUCCUUGGCAUGUGCUCAGUUAUUGGAAUCUCCUACUCGUACUUCUUGGUGUUCCGUUCUCGGUGCGGUUUGCUCAACAAUGUUUUUGUCUGCUUUUGCUGGAAUAUUUC